UUUUAAUGUGGCAGAAAAGUGCUAUGGAAUUAAGCCCCAUCUAUGAGGAAAUACUUCCUCCAUUAAAAA
Molecule: transfer RNA, 69 nt
Filed under: Mnais costalis
Lineage: Eukaryota; Metazoa; Arthropoda; Insecta; Odonata; Calopterygidae
Description: tRNA-Leu
Source: RNAcentral